GUGAGGAAUAUUGGUCAAUGGGCGAAAGCCUGAACCAGCCAUGUCGCGUGAAGGAUGAAUGUCCUAUGGAUUGUAAACUUCUUUUGCAGGAGGGUAAAGUGAGCUACGUGUAGUUCAUUGCAAGUACCCUGCGAAUAAGCAUCGGCUAACUCCGUGCCAGCAGCCGCGGUAAUACGGAGGAUGCGAGCGUUAUCCGGAUUUAUUGGGUUUAAAGGGUGCGUAGGCGGACUAAUUAGUCAGCGGUGAAAUUUUGCGGCUCAACCGUAAAACUGCCGUUGAAACUGUUAGUCUUGAGUGCGGUAGAGGUAGGCGGAAUGUGUGGUGUAGCGGUGAAAUGCUUAGAUAUCACACAGAACACCGAUUGCGUAGGCAGCUUACUGGAGCGCAACUGACGCUGAGGCACGAAAGCGUGGGGAUCGAACAGGAUUAGAAACCCCUGUAGUCC
This 445-nucleotide ribosomal RNA is filed under the name uncultured bacterium. RNAcentral describes it as "partial 16S ribosomal RNA". It matches the Rfam family "Bacterial small subunit ribosomal RNA", at positions 354 to 796 of the family's 1533-position model. The record is from RNAcentral.